RNAcentral lists this ribosomal RNA (452 nucleotides) under uncultured Pseudomonas sp. RNAcentral's name for it is "bacterial SSU rRNA". It matches the Rfam family "Bacterial small subunit ribosomal RNA", at positions 929 to 1382 of the family's 1533-position model. The record is from RNAcentral. Lineage: Bacteria; Pseudomonadati; Pseudomonadota; Gammaproteobacteria; Pseudomonadales; Pseudomonadaceae.
GCGGUGGAGCAUGUGGUUUAAUCGAAGCAACGCGAAGAACCUUACCAGGCCUUGACAUGCAGAGAACUUUCCAGAGAUGGAUUGGUGCCUUCGGGAACUCUGACACAGGUGCUGCAUGGCUGUCGUCAGCUCGUGUCGUGAGAUGUUGGGUUAAGUCCCGUAACGAGCGCAACCCUUGUCCUUAGUUACCAGCACGUUAUGGUGGGCACUCUAAGGAGACUGCCGGUGACAAACCGGAGGAAGGUGGGAUGACGUCAAGUCAUCAUGGCCCUUACGGCCUGGGCUACACACGUGCUACAAUGGUCGGUACAAAGGGUUGCCAAGCCGCGAGGUGGAGCUAAUCCCAUAAAACCGAUCGUAGUCCGGAUCGCAGUCUGCAACUCGACUGCGUGAAGUCGGAAUCGCUAGUAAUCGUGAAUCAGAAUGUCACGGUGAAUACGUUCCCGGGCCUU